RNAcentral lists this ribosomal RNA (533 nucleotides) under Clostridium sartagoforme. RNAcentral describes it as "Bacterial large subunit ribosomal RNA". It matches the Rfam family "Bacterial large subunit ribosomal RNA", at positions 1151 to 1687 of the family's 2925-position model. Lineage: Bacteria; Bacillati; Bacillota; Clostridia; Eubacteriales; Clostridiaceae. The record is from Rfam by way of RNAcentral.
GAGAGAUCCUGCGCCGAAAAUGUCCGGGGCUCAAACUUACCACCGAAGCUACGGGCUCAAGUUUACUUGAGCGGUAGAGGAGCGUCGUAAUCGGGCUGAAGUCGUACCGUAAGGAGCGGUGGACUGAUUACGAGUGAGAAUGUUGGCAUUAGUAGCGAGAUGUAAGUGAGAAUCUUACAGGCCGAAAAUCUAAGGUUUCCUGGGGAAGGCUCGUCCGCCCAGGGUUAGUCGGGACCUAAGCCGAGGCCGAAAGGCGUAGGUGAUGGACAAUUGGUUGAUAUUCCAAUACCACUAUUAUCGUUAUUAUCGAUGGUGUGACGGAGAAGGAUAGGAUGUGCUAGCGAUUGGAAAUGCUAGUCUAAGCAUUUAGGGAGUUAAGAUAGGCAAAUCCGUUUUAACAAUCCUGAGGUGUGAUGGGGAAGGCCAUUAAGGCUGAAGUAUCUGAUUCCCUGCUUCCAAGAAAAGCAUCUAGAGAGAGAAGUAGUGCCCGUACCGCAAACCGACACAGGUAGAUGAGGAGAGAAUCCUAAGGC